AACGACUCUUUCACAAGCUUUCUUUAUGUUAGAUAACACAGAUGUGUCUACACCACAAAACAGAGUUUGACGGAGAAAGCAGUGCUGAGCAAGAACUGACUUUAUGUAAAGUUGCUCUCAGGAGAAGUCAUGUGAAUAUGAACACAUUUGAACACAACACUCUGUCAUCAACAGCCUUGUGACAACUUGUGCAAGCAUUUCAGAGCUGGAGGAGCAUUGUGCUGUAUUGAUAACUCCCUUGAGAAGGCUUCAGUGUAAGCCCAGGGGGUGUGGUGAUCUGAAAUAUGGAGAGACACAGAGAUCCCCUUUGUGAGGACAUCACGAAGGGGAGCAGCAUUGUGUGGGCAUGACAUGGAAAUGCUACAAGUUCUGAUAUCCUCGUAGCUCCUGAAGACCAUUGCAAGUACACCGAUUUUGUUAUCUCUAUCAAGAAAAGUAGAUAAUAAUUUUUAAAAAGAUAAGGCAAAUCCUCAUUUUAUUAGACAGAUGAAGAGUGCUUUGUAUUUAUG
Molecule: long non-coding RNA, 509 nt
Filed under: Coturnix japonica (Japanese quail)
Lineage: Eukaryota; Metazoa; Chordata; Aves; Galliformes; Phasianidae
Description: lncRNA (ENSCJPG00005011830.1)
Source: RNAcentral